GACGAAUGCUGGCUGCGUGCUUAACACAUGCAAGUCGAACGGUGAAGGAGGGCUUGCCCUCCGGAUCAGUGGCGAACGGGUGAGUAACACGUGGGCAACCUGCCCCUCACUCUGGGAUAACGCCGGGAAACCGGCGCUAAUACCGGCUACGACCAGGCGCGACAUCUCGCCUGGUGGAAAGAAUUUCGGUGAGGGAUGGGCCCGCGGCCUAGCAGCUUGUUGGUGGGGUAACGGCCCACCAAGGCGACGACGGGUAGCCGGCCUGAGAGGGCGACCGGCCACACUGGGACUGAGACACGGCCCAGACUCCUACGGGAGGCAGCAGUGGGGAAUAUUGCGCAAUGGGCGAAAGCCUGACGCAGCGACGCAGCGUGAGGGACGAAGGCCUUCGGGUUGUAAACCUCUUUCAGCGGGGACGAAGCGAAAGUGACGGUACCCGCAGAAGAAGCACCGGCUAACUACGUGCCAGCCGCCGCCGUAA
RNAcentral lists this ribosomal RNA (481 nucleotides) under uncultured bacterium. RNAcentral describes it as "partial 16S ribosomal RNA". It matches the Rfam family "Bacterial small subunit ribosomal RNA", at positions 28 to 523 of the family's 1533-position model. The record is from RNAcentral.